Molecule: ribosomal RNA, 201 nt
Filed under: Bacillus sp. enrichment culture DGGE gel band jl-1d-12
Lineage: Bacteria; Bacillati; Bacillota; Bacilli; Caryophanales; Bacillaceae
Description: partial 16S ribosomal RNA
Rfam family: Bacterial small subunit ribosomal RNA
Source: RNAcentral
GACGAUUCCUACGGGAGGCAGCAGUAGGGAAUCUUCCGCAAUGGACAAAAGUCUGACGGAGCAACGCCGCGUGAGUGAUGAAGGUUUUCGGAUCGUAAAGCUCUGUUGCCAGGGAAGAACGUCCGGUAGAGUAACUGCUACCGGAGUGACGGUACCUGAGAAGAAAGCCCCGGCUAACUACGUGCCAGCAGCCGCGGUAAU